GAUGAACGCUGGCGGUGUGCCUAAUACAUGCAAGUCGUACGCAUUCUCGUUUCUGAUUGACGGUGCUUGCACCUAAUUGACGAGACAUUGGAAUGAGUGGCGGACGGGUGAGUAACACGUGGGUAACCUGCCCAGAAGUGGGGGAUAACAUUUGGAAACAGAUGCUAAUACCGCAUAAAAGUCAAAACCACAUGGUUUUGAUUUAAAAGAUGGCCUCUGUGCUAUCACUUCUGGAUGGACCCGCGGCGUAUUGCUAGUUGGUAAGGUAACGGCUUACCAAGGCAAUGAUACGUAGCCGAACUGAGAGGUUGAUCGGCCAAAAUGGGACUGAGACACGGCCCAUACUCCUACGGGAGGCAGCAGUAGGGAAUCUUCCACAAUGGGCGCAAGCCUGAUGGAGCAACACCGCGUGAGUGAAGAAGGGUUUCGGCUCGUAAAACUCUGUUGUUAAAGAAGAACGUAUCUAAGAGUAACUGCUUAGGUAGUGACGGUAUUUAACCAGAAAGCCACGGCUAACUACGUGCCAGCCGCCGCAGUAA
Molecule: ribosomal RNA, 539 nt
Filed under: uncultured bacterium
Lineage: Bacteria
Description: partial 16S ribosomal RNA
Rfam family: Bacterial small subunit ribosomal RNA
Source: RNAcentral